This 69-nucleotide transfer RNA is filed under the name Protohermes infectus. Its description in RNAcentral is "tRNA-Met". It matches the Rfam family "tRNA". From Rfam's summary of the family: Transfer RNA (tRNA) molecules are approximately 80 nucleotides in length. Their secondary structure includes four short double-helical elements and three loops (D, anti-codon, and T loops). The record is from RNAcentral. Lineage: Eukaryota; Metazoa; Arthropoda; Insecta; Megaloptera; Corydalidae.
AAAAAGAUCAGCUAAGUAAGCUAAUGGGUUCAUACCCCGUAUAUAAAGGUUUAAAUCCUUUUCUUUUUA